AGAGUUUGAUCCUGGCUCAGAUUGAACGCUGGCGGCAUGCCUUACACAUGCAAGUCGAACGGCAGCACGGGGGCAACCCUGGUGGCGAGUGGCGAACGGGUGAGUAAUAUAUCGGAACGUACCCAGUAGUGGGGGAUAACUAUCCGAAAGGAUAGCUAAUACCGCAUACGAUCUGUGGAUGAAAGCAGGGGAUCUUCGGACCUUGUGCUAUUGGAAUGGCCGAUAUCUGAUUAGCUAGUUGGUAGGGUAAAAGCCUACCAAGGCGACGAUCAGUAGCUGGUCUGAGAGGACGACCAGCCACACUGGAACUGAGACACGGUCCAGACUCCUACGGGAGGCAGCAGUGGGGAAUUUUGGACAAUGGGGGCAACCCUGAUCCAGCAAUGCCGCGUGAGUGAAGAAGGCCCUCGGGUUGUAAAG
RNAcentral lists this ribosomal RNA (420 nucleotides) under uncultured bacterium. RNAcentral describes it as "bacterial SSU rRNA". It matches the Rfam family "Bacterial small subunit ribosomal RNA", at positions 8 to 430 of the family's 1533-position model. The record is from RNAcentral.